RNAcentral lists this ribosomal RNA (901 nucleotides) under uncultured Bacillota bacterium. RNAcentral's name for it is "bacterial SSU rRNA". It matches the Rfam family "Bacterial small subunit ribosomal RNA", at positions 1 to 917 of the family's 1533-position model. The record is from RNAcentral. Lineage: Bacteria; Bacillati; Bacillota.
UGGAUCCAGACUUUGAUUAUGGCUCAGGACGAACGCUGGCGGCACGCUUAACACAUGCAAGUCGAACGGAGAAUUGAGAGCUUGCUUUUGAUUCUUAGUGGCGGACGGGUGAGUAACACGUGAGGAACCUGCCUCUGAGUGUGGGAUAGCUUCUGGAAACGGAUGGUAAUACCGCAUAACAUUACAUUAUCGCAUGGUAAGGUAAUCAAAGAUUUAUUGCUCAGAGAUGGCCUCGCGUCUGAUUAGAUAGUUGGUGGGGUAACGGCUCACCAAGUCGACGAUCAGUAGCCGGACUGAGAGGUUGGACGGCCACAUUGGGACUGAGACACGGCCCAGACUCCUACGGGAGGCAGCAGUGGGGAAUAUUGCACAAUGGGGGGAACCCUGAUGCAGCGAUGCCGCGUGGAGGAAGAAGGUUUUCGGAUUGUAAACUCCUGUCGUAAGGGACGAUAAUGACGGUACCUUACAAGAAAGCUCCGGCUAACUACGUGCCAGCAGCCGCGGUAAUACGUAGGGAGCGAGCGUUGUCCGGAAUUACUGGGUGUAAAGGGAGCGUAGGCGGUACGGCAAGUCAGAUGUGAAAUAUACGUGCUCAACAUGUAGACUGCAUUUGAAACUGUCGUUCUUGAGUGAGGUAGAGGUAAGCGGAAUUCCUGGUGUAGCGGUGAAAUGCGUAGAGAUCAGGAGGAACAUCGGUGGCGAAGGCGGCUUACUGGGCCUUUACUGACGCUGAGGCUCGAAAGCGUGGGGAGCAAACAGGAUUAGAUACCCUGGUAGUCCACGCCGUAAACGAUGGUUACUAGGUGUGGGGGGACUGACCCCUUCCGUGCCGCAGCUAACACAAUAAGUAAUCCACCUGGGGAGUACGGCCGCAAGGUUGCAACUCAAAGGAAUUGACGGA